UCUUAUCACCAUUACAGAUUGAAUAUACCCGAUCUCGUCUGAUCUCGGAAGUCAAGCAAUCUCGGGCUUGGUUAGUACUUGGAUGGGUGACCGCUUGGGAAUACCAAGUGUGAUAAGCA
Non-coding RNA from Ciona savignyi (Pacific transparent sea squirt), 119 nucleotides. NCBI's taxonomy places the organism in Eukaryota, Metazoa, Chordata, Ascidiacea, Phlebobranchia, Cionidae. The record is from Rfam.